UUAAUUGGAAUUGGUGAACCCUUGAUGAUGUGUGGCUUUAGUGACUUGUAAAUGAAUAUGUUGAUCUAUUGAUGAUGAUAAAUGAUGAUUUAUCAUGAGUAGAAUUAUUCUAAAGACGAUGAUUUAGAAUAUUUGGAUUAUAUUAUCCAUAUUAGGUUGAUGUUAUAGUUGAGAUAAAACCAUAUGUUUGGUAUAUGCACAUUUCAUGCAUUCAUAAGUUGUGUAUAUUGAUGAGUAUCCUAGAGACGAUGAUCUAGUUUACUGUUAUGUUAGAGACGAUGAUCUAGAAUGUUUUAGAGACGAUGAUCUAAAACACUUGGGUUAAGUUAUCCAAGAUUAUGAUGAAUUGGUACCACAUACAUAUAGAUAUGUCUANNNNNNNNNNNNNNNNNNNNNNNNNNNNNNNNNNNNNNNNNNNNNNNNNNNNNAGAAUGCAUUAGGAAUUAUGUGACGUUCUUAAUUGUUAAUUAAAUGGUACUUGACAUUGUAUAUUUGAUUUAUUUGUUCGAGAGUUUUUACUUCUCAAAUGUGAUUAGUAAUUGAUAAAAGAAUAUGUUUAAGUAUGUCUUAUACAUGUUUGCUUAUGUCUGAUACAUGUCUGAGUAUGUCCGAUACAUGCCUGUAUUUGUUCAAUAUGUAUAUGAGAUGUCUGAGUUGGAUUUACUCAGUUGCUUUUAUUUUAUUAAGUGUCUGAUAUGCGUUAUAUUCAGUCUCUGAUAAUAAUUGUGUUAUCUAACCCUCUGUUUUGUGUUUGUGCUGAACCGUUGGAGGUUCAGGUUCUCAGGUUGUAUAUUUGUUGGUGUUCGAGUUGUUGGUGAAAGCUCCGCUCUGAUUGUGACACGGGGAAGGGUUCAUAGAGUCUUUAUUUGUUGUUUUAUUUAUUUAAAUUAAAGGUGUAUCUUUUAUAAAAGAAUCUUGUAUAAGUGAUGAUUACUAAUUUUCAAUGAAGAAUGUAACACCUUGAACCAAUUUUUUUUUUUUUAAUUCAUUUUGACUCCGAGUCUUGAAAGUUAUAUUUUUAUCCGCUGCGUAGUUUUGAAAAAGCAUUCUUUUAUUAAGAUAAAUUGAAUAUUGGGUUAGGGUGGUUACAAAGUUGGUAUCAGAGCCCCGUUGUCUUCGGACUAUGUGAGUUAUGUGUCAGUCAGAGUAGGUCUGUGCAGUCAGACCGAGUGAGCUUGUUGUCAGUCGUGUUUGUGUAACUAUUAUGAUUUUUUGUGAAUUAAUUUUUGUAGUUACACUUGCACAUUAGUCACUAAUUAAUUGUUUUGCGAAUGUGUAACUAGUUUCAUGAAUUUUGUUGGUAGUUCUUUUAUUAGCAUGUUGUUUUAUUUGAUUCAUGAGACUUGUGUUUUUAAUUGGUAUUGACUUUAGAAUUUAUAAUUCUUACUUCAUGAUUGAAUACUAAAAUGAUGAUAGUUUAUGUGAUAACUUGUUAAUACUUGAAUG
RNAcentral lists this long non-coding RNA (1446 nucleotides) under Trifolium pratense (red clover). RNAcentral describes it as "long non-coding RNA (TPRA_LNC005531)". The record is from RNAcentral. Lineage: Eukaryota; Viridiplantae; Streptophyta; Magnoliopsida; Fabales; Fabaceae.